ACUCCUACGGGAGGCAGCAGUAAGGAAUAUUGGACAAUGCUCGCAAGAGUGAUCCAGCCAUUCCGCGUGCAGGAUGACUGCCCUAUGGGUUGUAAACUGCUUUUAGAUGGGAAGAAAGUGCGACAUUUAUGUUGUUUUGACGGUACCAUCAGAAUAAGGACCGGCUAACUCCGUGCCAGCAGCCGCGGGUAAUACGGAGGGUGCGAGCGUUAAUCGGAAUUACUGGGCGUAAAGCGCAUGCAGGCGGCCUGUUAAGUCAGAUGUGAAAGCCCGGGGCUUAACCUCGGAAUUGCAUUUGAAACUGGCAGGCUAGAGUCUUGUAGAGGGGGGUAGAAUUUCAGGGUGUAGCGGUGAAAUGCGUAGAGAUCUGAAGGAAUACCAGUGGCGAAGGCGGCCCCCUGGACAAAGACUGACGCUCAGAUGCGAAAGCGUGGGGAGCAAACAGGAUUAGAUACCCUGGUAGGAUAG
This 468-nucleotide ribosomal RNA is filed under the name uncultured bacterium. RNAcentral's name for it is "bacterial SSU rRNA". It matches the Rfam family "Bacterial small subunit ribosomal RNA", at positions 335 to 798 of the family's 1533-position model. The record is from RNAcentral.